RNAcentral lists this ribosomal RNA (460 nucleotides) under uncultured bacterium. RNAcentral's name for it is "partial 16S ribosomal RNA". It matches the Rfam family "Bacterial small subunit ribosomal RNA", at positions 338 to 795 of the family's 1533-position model. The record is from RNAcentral.
CCUAUGGGAGACAGCAGUGAGGAAUAUUGGUCAAUGGGCGCGAGCCUGAACCAGCCAAGUAGCGUGAAGGAUGACUGCCCUACGGGUUGUAAACUUCUUUUAUAAAGGAAUAAAGUGAGGCACGUGUGCCUUUUUGUAUGUACUUUAUGAAUAAGGAUCGGCUAACUCCGUGCCAGCAGCCGCGGUAAUACGGAGGAUCCGAGCGUUAUCCGGAUUUAUUGGGUUUAAAGGGAGCGUAGAUGGGUUGUUAAGUCAGUUGUGAAAGUUUGCGGCUCAACCGUAAAAUUGCAAUUGAUACUGGCAGUCUUGAGUACAGUUGAGGUAGGCGGAAUUCGUGGUGUAGCGGUGAAAUGCUUAGAUAUCACGAAGAACCCCGAUUGCGAAGGCAGCUUACUAAACUGUGACUGACAUUGAUGCUCGAAAGUGUGGGUAUCAAACAGGAUUAGAUACCCGGGUAGUC